Molecule: small nuclear RNA, 109 nt
Organism: Suricata suricatta (meerkat)
Lineage: Eukaryota; Metazoa; Chordata; Mammalia; Carnivora; Herpestidae
Source: Ensembl
GUGCUCACUUCCCACAGCACAUAGGCUAAAACAGGGACAAUACAGAGAAGACUUGGCAUGCCCCUGAUGUAAAGAUGACACACAAAUUCAUGAAGUGUUCUGUGUCUUU